GCGAAGGUGGCGGAAUUGGUGGACGCGCUACCACCAGCUGUUAGUAUCCUUACCGAGUGGGGGUUCAAGUCCCCCCCCUCGCCCCA
This 86-nucleotide transfer RNA is filed under the name Klebsiella pneumoniae. RNAcentral's name for it is "tRNA-OTHER". It matches the Rfam family "tRNA". Rfam says of the family: Transfer RNA (tRNA) molecules are approximately 80 nucleotides in length. Their secondary structure includes four short double-helical elements and three loops (D, anti-codon, and T loops). The record is from RNAcentral. Lineage: Bacteria; Pseudomonadati; Pseudomonadota; Gammaproteobacteria; Enterobacterales; Enterobacteriaceae.